GUGGGGAAUAUUGGACAAUGGGGGAAACCCUGAUCCAGCGACGCCGCGUGUGUGAAGAAGGCCUGCGGGUUGUAAAGCACUUUUAGUGGGGAUGAAAAGCUCAGGGCUAAUACCUCUGGGUCUUGACCUAACCCAAAGAAAAAGCACCGGCUAACUCUGUGCCAGCAGCCGCGGUAAUACAGAGGGUGCGAGCGUUAAUCGGAAUUACUGGGCGUAAAGCGUGCGUAGACGGUUAUGUAAGUCGGGUGUGAAAGCCCCGGGCUCAACCUGGGAAUUGCAUUCGAGACUGGAUAGCUAGGGUGCGGAAGAGGGAAGCGGAAUUUCAGGUGUAGCGGUGAAAUGCGUAGAUAUCUGAAGGAACACCAGUGGCGAAAGCGGCUUCCUGGUCCAGCACCGACGUUCAGGCACGAAAGCGUGGGGAGCAAACAGGAUUAGAAACCCUUGUAGUCC
This 450-nucleotide ribosomal RNA is filed under the name uncultured bacterium. RNAcentral's name for it is "bacterial SSU rRNA". It matches the Rfam family "Bacterial small subunit ribosomal RNA", at positions 354 to 796 of the family's 1533-position model. The record is from RNAcentral.